This is a ribosomal RNA of 998 nucleotides. It matches the Rfam family "Bacterial small subunit ribosomal RNA", at positions 470 to 1470 of the family's 1533-position model.
GGACAUCACUCGCAGAAGAAGCACCGGCUAACUCCGUGCCAGCAGCCGCGGUAAUACGGAGGGUGCAAGCGUUAAUCGGAAUUACUGGGCGUAAAGCGCGCGUAGGCGGCUGAUAAGCCGGUUGUGAAAGCCCCGGGCUCAACCUGGGAACGGCAUCCGGAACUGUCAGGCUAGAGUGCAGGAGAGGAAGGUAGAAUUCCCGGUGUAGCGGUGAAAUGCGUAGAGAUCGGGAGGAAUACCAGUGGCGAAGGCGGCCUUCUGGACUGACACUGACGCUGAGGUGCGAAAGCGUGGGUAGCAAACAGGAUUAGAUACCCUGGUAGUCCACGCCGUAAACGAUGUCGACUAGCCGUUGGGGUCCUCGAGACCUUUGUGGCGCAGUUAACGCGAUAAGUCGACCGCCUGGGGAGUACGGCCGCAAGGUUAAAACUCAAAUGAAUUGACGGGGGCCCGCACAAGCGGUGGAGCAUGUGGUUUAAUUCGAUGCAACGCGAAGAACCUUACCUACUCUUGACAUCGAGCGAACUUUCCAGAGAUGGAUUGGUGCCUUCGGGAACGCUCAGACAGGUGCUGCAUGGCCGUCGUCAGCUCGUGUUGUGAAAUGUUGGGUUAAGUCCCGUAACGAGCGCAACCCUUGUCCCUAUUUGCCAGCGAUUCGGUCGGGAACUCUAGGGAGACUGCCGGUGACAAACCGGAGGAAGGUGGGGACGACGUCAGGUCAUCAUGGCCCUUACGAGUAGGGCUACACACGUGCUACAAUGGCCGGUACAAUGGGCUGCAAUCCCGCGAGGGGGAGCUAAUCUCAUAAAGCCGGUCUCAGUCCGGAUCGGAGUCUGCAACUCGACUCCGUGAAGUCGGAAUCGCUAGUAAUCGUGCAUCAGAAUGGCACGGUGAAUACGUUCCCGGGCCUUGUACACACCGCCCGUCACACCAUGGGAGUGGACUGCACCAGAAGUGGUUAGCCUAACUUCGGAGGGCGAUCACCACGUUGCUCAUUC